RNAcentral lists this ribosomal RNA (509 nucleotides) under uncultured Actinomycetes bacterium. Its description in RNAcentral is "bacterial SSU rRNA". It matches the Rfam family "Bacterial small subunit ribosomal RNA", at positions 899 to 1407 of the family's 1533-position model. Lineage: Bacteria; Bacillati; Actinomycetota; Actinomycetes. The record is from RNAcentral.
ACUCAAAGGAAUUGACGGGGGCCCGCACAAGCGGCGGAGCAUGCGGAUUAAUUCGAUGCAACGCGAAGAACCUUACCAAGACUUGACAUAUUCAGGAAAACUGCAGAAAUGUAGUCCCCCGCAAGGGUCUGUUUACAGGUGGUGCAUGGUUGUCGUCAGCUCGUGUCGUGAGAUGUUAGGUUAAGUCCCGCAACGAGCGCAACCCUCGUCCUAUGUUGCCAGCACGUUAUGGUGGGAACUCAUGGGAGACUGCCGGGGUCAACUCGGAGGAAGGUGGGGAUGACGUCAAAUCAUCAUGCCCCUUAUGUCUUGGGCUUCACGCAUGCUACAAUGGCCGGUACAAAGGGCUGCAAUACCGCAAGGUGGAGCGAAUCCCAAAAAGCCGGUCUCAGUUCGGAUUGAGGUCUGCAACUCGACCUCAUGAAGUCGGAGUCGCUAGUAAUCGCAGAUCAGCAACGCUGCGGUGAAUACGUUCCCGGGCCUUGUACACACCGCCCGUCAAGUCACGA